Long non-coding RNA from Lolium perenne, 339 nucleotides. RefSeq lists it as uncharacterized. The record is from RefSeq and is a predicted model, not a curated record. NCBI's taxonomy places the organism in Eukaryota, Viridiplantae, Streptophyta, Magnoliopsida, Poales, Poaceae.
AGCCCUCUUCAAUACCUUCAUUUUGGCGGUGGUUUCACUUCGAUUGACCUCCUGAAACUGAAAUGGUUCACAGGUCAAGAUCUGGUCAGAUCUGACUUUGUUGAAUUAAACCAGGAGCUUGGGAACGAAUCUUUGAGUGAAACAAAUUGGGGGAUGUUUGGUUUAUACCAUGGUGAUAACCGAGAGAGGCAAUUGCUAAGUUGUGAUGCACUCAUACCUCUAGUAGAUGCGAACAAUUCCGGAGAAGAAGAAGAAGUGGAAUUGGACAAGGAUUUUAUUUAUAUUGUUGGGAUUCUUAUAUUGAUAGAGUUGAAGAAGUACAGGGACAAAUAAGCCAAG